Long non-coding RNA from Culicoides brevitarsis, 509 nucleotides. RefSeq lists it as uncharacterized. The record is from RefSeq and is a predicted model, not a curated record. The transcript is spliced from 3 exons. Lineage: Eukaryota; Metazoa; Arthropoda; Insecta; Diptera; Ceratopogonidae.
CAUCAUCGUCUGUCACAAAACAAAUGAAUGACAAAUGAUUAAAAAGAGAUUAGGAAUUAAAGUGACAUUUGUGAAAAGUUAAAUCUCUGAAAUAAUCUUCAUGUGAGGCGAUAAAACGAUAAAAGGAAACUACAUUCCAGAAGAGGAGAUUUUUAUCAAGUUUUUAAAGAAAAUCUUCCUUAAUAAUUUCUGCUAUUUCGCUCUUCGGGAAAUAAGAUGGUCUUCAUACCACUUGCCUGACUACCAUGCAAGGUUGGCCCUCAUAAACUUGCCCUCUUUGGAAGAUCGUAGGACACUCGCUGAAGUAAUGUUCGCUUUUAACUUGCUACGUGAGAACAUUAAGUGUCCUGAGCUCCGAGCCAAAAUGAUACGCCAUCAACCGACAAGAAAUUUGAGACACGAGCGCUUCUUUGAGCUGAGACAUUGUGAUAGUGAGUUUGCUGGAUCAGAGAUUUUUCAUAGAUGUGCUUUGUCCUUUAAUCGUUUUAGUAGCGUGUACUCGAACGAAA